This 73-nucleotide transfer RNA is filed under the name Hymenobacter amundsenii. RNAcentral describes it as "tRNA-Ala". It matches the Rfam family "tRNA". Rfam says of the family: Transfer RNA (tRNA) molecules are approximately 80 nucleotides in length. Their secondary structure includes four short double-helical elements and three loops (D, anti-codon, and T loops). The record is from RNAcentral. Lineage: Bacteria; Pseudomonadati; Bacteroidota; Cytophagia; Cytophagales; Hymenobacteraceae.
GGGGGAUUAGCUCAGCUGGCUAGAGCGUUGCAUGGCAUGCAAGAGGUCAUCGGUUCGACUCCGAUAUUCUCCA